This 2727-nucleotide long non-coding RNA is filed under the name Equus caballus (horse). RNAcentral describes it as "lncRNA (ENSECAG00000046192.1)". Lineage: Eukaryota; Metazoa; Chordata; Mammalia; Perissodactyla; Equidae. The record is from RNAcentral.
CAGAGAUUGUUUUUACAACCUCAAAACAAACAAACAAAAACCUAAGAAUGUUUAGCCAAGUCUGGUGGUUUUAAAACUUGUCCACAGAUCCUUUGAGCUCCUCCCCUCAAGAGGUGGAGUUUAUCUCUCUCCCCUUGACUGUGGGCUGUACUCAAUGAGAUGCUUGUAGAGAACAGAAUUUGACCAAUGUGCUGGGCUGACACUUCUGCAAUUAGGUCAUAAAAGACCGUGGCCUGACUCUUUGUCCACUCUCUUGGUGACUCUCUCUCUUAGAUCACUCACUUAGGGGGAAACCAUGUCAUCAGCAGCCCUCUUGAGAGGCCCACAUGGCAAGGAACUCAAGCUUCCUGCCAAGAGCCACGUGAAAGCUUGAGAUGUCCCCAGCCAGAGACAUCUAGUUAAGCCCUUCCAGGAUUCCUGACUCUCAGAAACUGUGUGAGGAGAAGCCAAGAGCUUGCUUGAGCCGCCUGAGGCCACACAGCUUGUCGUGGACGGAGCCAACACGAGAACUUUACUCUCUGGAUUCCCAGGCUGAUGCUGCCAUUACUUUUUAAUAAAAAUAUCAUAGAAAUCCACCAAGCUGGCCAAAUUGGAUGAGAAUGACAGAUGGGGAAGGGCUGACGGCUAGGAAAUGUCCCAAAAUAGAGAGAAGUCCUCUCUUUUCUCCAUGGAUGGAGGACAUCAGGAAAGUUUUGAAGUACACAAGAGUUUAAAAAAAUCAUUCCACGAUUCUCAUUUGGUAAAGUGGAAUAAAGUUUAAUUUUCUUAGACAAAAUAUGCGUGUGCCUGUUGACGCCUUAGGCCAGGCUCCUAGGAGUUGGGACUUCUGCCUGCCCUUCCUUUUGAGCUGUGCCAACAUAAGUCCCUCACAACCUCUCGCUCACACAUGGCUCGGCUGGAAGGAAAGGAGGAGGUGGCAUGUAGCCUUGACUGCAUAGAGGCAGCGUAUAAAGGACCGCUCCAGGCACAGGCUGGAGAGUAUCACAUCAACGUGCUUCUUGGGCUUAUGUGCCCCAGGACAGAUGCAUGGAUCCCAAUUGUGAAGCAGGCGAAGCUCGCCUGUGGGUGUCCACUUUCUCUCUUUUUGGGCGGACAGCAUUCACAGGGCAGGAGUGGGGGCCCAGGAGUGAACAGAGACCAGCCACUGGCCUCAGGAAGCCAGCUCACGGUUUGGUGGAGGACACAUGCCAGUCAUGGGAUGGCAUCAGCACAGAGAAGGAGGAACCAUCAUUGCGUGGAGGAGGAAGUACAGGGAGCAAUGCUAGACACCAGGGGGUCCUGAGCUCGAUUGGGAGUCAGGAGAAGCAUCCUGGGGCUGUUUACAUGUGCUGUCUACGUGUGCACACUUCCCGCGCUUGAUUCCUGACCCGGACCAUCCUCUAGUUCCAAGCCCCAAACCUGUCGCCUCCUUGACAUUUGGAUGUCUCAUGAGCAUCUCAAACAUACCAUGUCCAAAAAGAGCCUUUUGAUUCUAAACCUGCUCUUCUUUCAAGCUUCGCUUUCAGAAAAUGGCCCACCGAGGACUUUGGGCCAGGAACCUGGAGUCAGCCUUUUUACUUCUCCCUUAGCAGAACAUCUGCAUCCAAAUCAUUAACAGGUCAUGCCAGCUGCCCGUGGGAAAAUGCACCCCAGAUCCGUUCAGCCAUCUCCCCUUGGUCCGCCACCACUCCAGUCGGGGCCCGUCUCAUCUUGUUAGAUCUCUGCAAUCCCUUCCUGACUGGCUUCCUUGCUUCCCUUCUCGAUGCCCCACCCUCCACGAAGCAGACAGAGAGAUCUGUUUAAAUGACGAGGGAGUGUCAUUUCUCUUAGGAUAGAAUCCAAACUCCAUCCCAGCAUUUAGGGCUGUGAACCUCAGCUCUUGCCACUUUUCUUCUGUCCCCCUCACCCCAGCCACACAGACUUUUUUCAAGUCCUUGAUUGUGCCUUACUCUCUCCCACUUAGGGCCUUUAAAUUGUUCUUCAAGCACUUUCUCUUUACCCAAAGGAGCCCCGGUGGCCACAGCCCCCAACCACUGCUGCUCUCCGUCUUGGUUCCCUGUUUACUUCCUUCACACCAUUUAGAGCAACUUGUAAACACCUGUGUUUGUUUUUGGCUUGUUUGUCAUUUGUCUCCCCUACCGAAGAGGUGAGCAGGACCCAGAUCGUGUGAAGGUCAUAUUGAGAAGGGACAUGACCCCAAGAGAAAUGCGGAGCCAGUGAAAAGUUUAAAACAAAGGAGAGAGAGGAAUGUAAUUCCAUUUGCAGUAGCUCCCGGGCAGAACGCUUUGAAGAGCGAGGUCCAGUUUGGAGAGUGGAGAGGGGGAGGCCCAUCGGAAGACUGUUGAGGUGGCAUAGCUAGGAACGGUGGUGAUGAGAACUAGGGGUUGAGCACUGGGGGUGGAAAGAGGUAGGUGGAUUUAAGAGAGAUUUAGGAGGUUGUGUCCACAGACUUUGGGAUUUUAUGCAGGAAGAAAGGGAGAAGGAGAAACCUAGGUAAUGCUCAGUUUUCUGGUGUGGGCGACUGAGUAGAUGGAUGAUGUUGCCUUUGCUGCCAUGGGACACAGGAUGAGGAGCACUCUUGAGGGUCAGUGCAAAGUCUGCUUGGGACAUACUGAGUUUGAGGAUCGUGAGAGUGGAGGCAGCCUGCUGAGAGUCAGAAUCACCCAAAAUACAUCUGGCUCGGAGAUAUAGAUGCUUAUUCUAUACGUAUCUUUGAAAAUAGAUAAACUCAUAAUAUUUUUUAUUUAG